GACGAACGCUGGCGGCGUGCUUAACACAUGCAAGUCGAACGGAAAGGCCCUGCUUUUGUGGGGUGCUCGAGUGGCGAACGGGUGAGUAACACGUGAGUAACCUGCCCUUGACUUUGGGAUAACUUCAGGAAACUGGGGCUAAUACCGGAUAGGAGCUCCUGCUGCAUGGUGGGGGUUGGAAAGUUUCGGCGGUUGGGGAUGGACUCGCGGCUUAUCAGCUUGUUGGUGGGGUAGUGGCUUACCAUGGCUUUGACGGGUAGCCGGCCUGAGAGGGUGACCGGCGACAAUGGGACUGAGGUACGGCCCAGACGCCUACGGGAGGCAGCAGUGGGGAAUAUUGCACAAUGGGCGGAAGCCUGAUGCAGCAACGCCGCGUGCGGGAUGACGGCCUUCGGGUUGUAAACCGCUUUCGCCUGUGACGAAGCGUGAGUGACGGUAAUGGGUAAAGAAGCACCGGCUAACUACGUG
RNAcentral lists this ribosomal RNA (468 nucleotides) under uncultured bacterium. Its description in RNAcentral is "partial 16S ribosomal RNA". It matches the Rfam family "Bacterial small subunit ribosomal RNA", at positions 28 to 507 of the family's 1533-position model. The record is from RNAcentral.